UACGUAGGGGGCAAGCGUUGUCCGGAUUUAUUGGGCGUAAAGAGCGUGUAGGCGGUUUGGUAGGUCCGCUGUGAAAACUCGAGGCUCAACCUCGAGACGCCGGUGGAAACCAUCAGACUAGAGUCCGGAAGAGGAGAGUGGAAAUCCUGGUGUAGCGGUGAAAUGCGCAGAUAUCAGGAAGAACACCCGUGGCUAAGGCGGCUCUCUAGUACGGUACUGACGCUGAGACGCGAAAGCGUGGGGAGCGAACAGG
RNAcentral lists this ribosomal RNA (253 nucleotides) under uncultured bacterium. RNAcentral's name for it is "partial 16S ribosomal RNA". It matches the Rfam family "Bacterial small subunit ribosomal RNA", at positions 524 to 776 of the family's 1533-position model. The record is from RNAcentral.